Molecule: ribosomal RNA, 468 nt
Filed under: uncultured bacterium
Lineage: Bacteria
Description: partial 16S ribosomal RNA
Rfam family: Bacterial small subunit ribosomal RNA
Source: RNAcentral
GACGAACGCUGGCGGCGUGCUUAACACAUGCAAGUCGAACGGAAAGGCCCUGCUUUUGUGGGGUGCUCGAGUGGCGAACGGGUGAGUAACACGUGAGUAACCUGCCCUUGACUUUGGGAUAACUUCAGGAAACUGGGGCUAAUACCGGAUAGGAGCUCCCGCUGCAUGGUGGGGGUUGGAAAGUUUCGGCGGUUGGGGAUGGACUCGCGGCUUAUCAGCUUGUUGGUUGGGUAGUGGCUUACCAAGGCUUUGACGGGUGGCCGGCCUGAGAGGGUGAGCGGACAAAUCGCGCUUGGGAUACGGCACAGACCCGACUGCGAGGCAACAGUGCGGAAUAUUGCACAAUAGGCGGAGCCCUGGUGUAACAAAGCAACGUGGGGGAUGACAGGCAGCCGGUUGUAAACCGCUGCCCCCUUUGACGAAGCGUGAGUGACGGUAACGGGUAAAGAAGCACCGGCUAACUACGUG